This 459-nucleotide ribosomal RNA is filed under the name uncultured bacterium. RNAcentral's name for it is "bacterial SSU rRNA". It matches the Rfam family "Bacterial small subunit ribosomal RNA", at positions 340 to 786 of the family's 1533-position model. The record is from RNAcentral.
UACGGAAGGCAGCAGUGGGGAAUAUUGCACAAUGGGCGAAAGCCUGAUGCAGCUAUGCCGCGUGUAUGAAGAAGGCCUUAGGGUUGUAAAGUACUUUCAUCGGGGAGGAAAAAACAAAACUAAUAAUUUUAUUUCUUGACGUUACCCGAAAAAGAAGCACCGGCUAACUCCGUGCCAGCAGCCGCGGUAAUACGGAGGGUGCUAGCGUUAAUCAGAAUUACUGGGCGUAAAGAGCACGUAGGUGGUUUUUUUAAGUCAGAUGUGAAAUCCCUGGGCUUAAACCUGGAACUGCAUUUUGAAACUGAAAUACUAGAGUAUCGUAGAGGGAGGUAGAAUUCUAGGUGUAGCGGUGAAAAUGCGUAGAUAUCUGGAGGAAUACCUGUGGCGAAAGCGGCCUCCUAAACGAAUACUGACACUGAGGUGCGAAAAGCGUGGGGAGCAAAACAGGGAUUAGAUACC